This 605-nucleotide ribosomal RNA is filed under the name Phaseoleae environmental sample. RNAcentral's name for it is "SSU rRNA". It matches the Rfam family "Eukaryotic small subunit ribosomal RNA", at positions 392 to 1001 of the family's 1831-position model. The record is from RNAcentral. Lineage: Eukaryota; Viridiplantae; Streptophyta; Magnoliopsida; Fabales; Fabaceae.
GAGCCUGAGAAACGGCUACCACAUCCAAGGAAGGCAGCAGGCGCGCAAAUUACCCAAUCCCGACACGGGGAGGUAGUGACAAUAAAUAACAACACAGGGCUCUUUUGGGUCUUGUUAUUGGAAUGAGUACGAUUUAAAUCUCCUAACGAGGAACAAUUGGAGGGCAAGUCUGGUGCCAGCAGCCGCGGUAAUUCCAGCUCCAAUAGCGUAUAUUAAAGUUGUUGCAGUUAAAAAGCUCGUAGUUGAAUUUCAGGCCUGGCUGGACGGUCCGCCCUUCGGGUGAGUACUGUCUGUGGUCGGGUCCUACCUUCUGGCGAAGCGUCAUGGCCUUAACCGGCCGUGGCGGGGAACCAGGACUUUUACUGUGAAAAAAUUAGAGUGUUCAAAGCAGGCAAUCGCUUGGAUACAUUAGCAUGGAAUAAUGGAAUAGGACAAUGGUUCUAUUUGUUGGUUUCUAGGACCGUUGUAAUGAUUAAUAGGGAUAGUUGGGGGCAUUAGUAUUCAAUUGUCAGAGGUGAAAUUCUUGGAUUUAUUGAAGACUAACUACUGCGAAAGCAUUUGCCAAGGAUGUUUUCAUUAAUCAAGAACGAAAGUUAGGGGAUCGA